Molecule: long non-coding RNA, 3182 nt
Filed under: Homo sapiens (human)
Lineage: Eukaryota; Metazoa; Chordata; Mammalia; Primates; Hominidae
Description: HSALNT0247432
Source: RNAcentral
AAAUUCUUCAGAUAACUGAAUAUUUUUUUGGGGGGGAAGCUUUUUAAAAUAUUCCAGAGGUAAUUCCAUUUCAGAUUUUGAACAGAAAAGGGAGUCCCCCUUCCCCCACCUUGAUACAUUAUUUCUAUCAAAGGUAGCAUUGCUGCUCAUGUUCUCAUUUCUUUCUUGGUGAGAAAAUUAAUUGAUACGCUAGAGUAAUUUUCAUCCAGAGUGAAUCUGAAUGUUGUUUCUGAAUUAUUUUUGGACCUUGGCUUUCUUAAUCAUAGCUAAUGAUCUACGUGUCUUUAGGAGUAUUUUUUUCAGAAGGGAAAAUUUUUAUAGGUAUAGAUUAUUGGUCAAAAUCAUUGGUCAAUUCUUGGUAAGGAAAAUAAAAACUGCUGCUUGGGCCUCAAACUAUGCUGUCUUAAUGACUAGGAAAACAUAAUUCUCAACUUUUCCAUUUUUUUUUUUCCUGGGAGCUCCAGAUAACAGCACUAUGGGAAGGAGGAAGAAUUUAAUGAAAGCUUGUACCUGCUGGCUGAAACUAAGCAGCCUAUUUAUAAACUGCUCUGAAAUGCCAGGGAGCAGGUAACUCCCAAAUGAAAAAGCAAGCAGGUCUCUCCCACCAUCAGUGGGAUGGCUGAGCUGUCUGUGGUGCCUUUGCAUCUUGCUGCUUCGCUGACCCUGAAGGUCUGCCCCAGCCUCAGGCGACCAAGCCUACAGCGACCUCAAGGAGCAGCUGCCUCAUCAGUGCUUGUAGGAGGCUCAGGACGGAGAGGGGUCUGAUGCCCCCAUUUUGUUCCCUUCUUUUGUCUUCUUUUGACUUCCCUAGGGAAGGGAAAAUGUGCUAUGAAGUUAAAAGAGGAAUGAAGGAAAAAGAGAGAAUGGAGGGUCUUCUAAAAUGUGUUUAUUUCUCAAAAGCCACAUAGUGCUUCACAAAUUCACAUUAAUCUAACACUUUUGCACUGUCCCCUCCCUCACUCCAGCCCCAACCAUGGGGCGAAGCCCAGCAGUGUGGGAAUGUACUCGCAAACCCCACACAGACCCGUGGCCACGUGUGGAUGCACUCAACAGGAGCCAGCUAUAUUUCAGUUCUUGCUACUUGUAUCUGUCUUUAGCAUCCUCCUACAACGAGCAACACAGAUAAAUAAAUCCCCAAACCUCACCUUGGCACUGGUUCCAGCUCCUCCCCUCUCCACCUUUAGCAGCCAUUAUCAUAAAUCACAUUCUUUGAUAUAUCUUUCUCAAUGUCUCCCUCGCUCAGAUUGCCUUUUAGUAAAAGUUCAUAAAACAAAACAGAAUUUACUAAAAAUAGGUUAGUGGAAAGGUGAGCAAUACAACUUCUGAAAAAAAAAUUAAACCAGUGUAUGAUUUGGGGAUUUAGUGAAGUGAACUGAUAAACUGGGACAUUCAAAUCUAUUAUGCCAAUAUUUUCUCUGGCAAGAGAUUGCUUGCUGUCUUUGCAUGUAGUUUCAUUUCAGGACUUAAUUCCCUGUUUAAAAAAAAAAACUGGAAGAAAAUUUUGCAUUAGUUGUAUUUUACUUAGAUCCAGAGACGAAGCUCUGCUAAUGCAUAUUACAAUAUAUAAUUAAGCAUAAAUACAUUAAAAUAUUAAAACACUGUAAGUUAUUAGAAAUAAUGAAAUUUCUUGCAUAAAGUCAUUGCAUGAAUUACUUAGGUGCUUGUCAGAUCCCUAAUCAGAAAGAGCUGCCAGAGAUGGCAGAGACUUCACUUGCCAAGACAACGUAGUCCAUCAGCAAAUCAGUGGACUUGGGAAGGAGGUGGUUUUCCAUUUAAGCUGCAGCAUCACAGAAAGUUACCCUCUAAAGUCAUUCUUAGAUGAAUACUUCUAUGUCAUACACAGCUAAAUUCCAACAGUCAAAACAAUUAUUCUAAGCUAAUUAAAAUACAAAUAAAAUUUUAGGCUAUGGGAUAACAGAUCAUGAGAUAAAAACAAUUCUACGAUUGUUGGAGGGGCCCUGUAUGAUAUAUUCAGAUCUUGCUCAUCUCUUCCAAAUCUUUGUUUUUUUAAAUAGAAAAUGUAAAUUAUAUUUAGCUUAAGUCUAUGUUUGAAUUUAAAUCACUAAAAAAAUCUACUUUCUAUAAAGCAUUUGGAGCAAUCUUGCAUAUAAUACUCAUUUGCUUAGCUAACUCUUUUUUUCUGUAGAUAAGUAAGGUAAAUGUUAGGCCACUAGACAAAAUUAUCAUACAUCUUCAAUCAUCAAUGUCCAGAGUAAUGAGUCAAUAUAUGUAUGUACGUAUGUAUAUGCAUUUAAAAAAAUCACUCUUUUGACACAUUUCACUUUUCUUUGUAAGUAAUAUAGGUGGGCUAGAUCAGGGGUUGUCAAGUCAGAUUAGAAUCAUCUGAGGAGAUGUGGGCAUCUGGCGAUGCCCAUACCAAUUAAAAGAGUUUCUAGGGGUGUGGAUGGAAAGUGGGAACUGGUAGUUUUACAAGGUCCCUGUCACCAGGGUUGAGACACCAUAGCUUAGAGUCCUGUAACUUGUCCUUACCACCAGUUCAUUCUCUUCUCUCCUUCUGUGAGGAGCGCUUCUAUACUAAGACCCUGAAGGUAACUAGAAAGAGACAAACUCCACCAAGUCAUCCAGUGGUGCACCUUUGAGGACUUCCACUACUCGCCUAGGUUCUAUGAGGCCAGUAUGGAGACAGAGAGGUGGGGGCCUGUGGGGAACUGGAGGCUACAGGCCCCACUUCUAGGAGAUCUCCCAGCUCCAGCCCACUGUGCCAUCAGGAAUGUGGGCCCAUGGCUGCCUGGCUUUCAAGAGAAGCUAGAAAUCUGCUUUCUAUGUGAAAACCUCUUGAUUUUUAAAUGCUUGCAAUGAAUUAAAAAUUUAUCAAAACUGUGUUGUCCAAACAAUCAUGUAUGUGACCAAACAUGGCCUACAAAAUGCUAAUUUACUACCUCUGAACUAGCACAAUAUCCUGAAAAAAGGCAUAAAUAAAAAAAUAUUGGCAGAAUGCAGCAUGAGCAGUAUGUGGAAAGUUUUAUUUUUUAAACCAUAUAGAUAAAUCUGUAUUUGCUUACUUAUAAUUUAGUUGUGCUCUCCAGAACCUAAUGGCAUAACAUUAACAGGCCUUUAAAAGCAGUGUGCUAAAUGAAGGACAGUUUAAAUCCACAGAUGUAAAACCAUUGUAGAGCAAACAUGCAAACAAAAACUGAUCAAUCAACCAACCCACCCACCCA